This 415-nucleotide non-coding RNA is filed under the name Eucalyptus grandis. RNAcentral describes it as "Bacterial small subunit ribosomal RNA". It matches the Rfam family "Bacterial small subunit ribosomal RNA", at positions 39 to 536 of the family's 1533-position model. The record is from Rfam by way of RNAcentral. Lineage: Eukaryota; Viridiplantae; Streptophyta; Magnoliopsida; Myrtales; Myrtaceae.
GUAGCAUGCUUGACACAUCCAAGUUAAAUGGGAAAUAGUGUUUCCUCUGGCGAACAAGUGAAUAAGGCGUAAUAACCUACCCCAUAGGCUGAGGAGCAAAAGGAGGAAUAUGCCUAAGGAGGGGUUUGCGUCCAAUUAGCUAGUUAGUGAGGCUAUAGUGUACUGAGGCGAUGAUUAGUAGCUAGUCCGAAAGAAUGAUCAGCCAUAUUGGGAUGGAGACAUGACCCAAACUCCUAUGAGAGGCAACGGUAGGGAAUUUUUCACAAUGGGAAAAGCCUGACAGAGCAAUGCCAUGUGGAGAUAAAAAGGCCUAUGGGUUGUGAACUUCUUUUCCCAAGAAGAAUUCAAUGAUGAUGUCUGCGCGAUAAGCAUUAGCUAACUUUGUGCCGGCAGCCGUGGUAAUAUAGAGGAUGCA